Molecule: transfer RNA, 72 nt
Filed under: Camelus dromedarius (Arabian camel)
Lineage: Eukaryota; Metazoa; Chordata; Mammalia; Artiodactyla; Camelidae
Also listed under: 1 other name
Rfam family: tRNA
About the family: Transfer RNA (tRNA) molecules are approximately 80 nucleotides in length. Their secondary structure includes four short double-helical elements and three loops (D, anti-codon, and T loops).
Source: Rfam by way of RNAcentral
AGGGGUAUAGUUCAGCGGUAGAACACGUGCUUGGCAUGCACAGGGUCCCAGGUUCAAUACCCAGUGCUUCCG